CCUANGGGCGGCAGCAGUUAGGAAUCUUGCGCAAUGGGCGAAAGCCUGACGCAGCAACGCCGCGUGCGGGAUGACGGCCUUCGGGUUGUAAACCGCUUUCAGUGGGGACGAAAUCAGACGGUACCCACAGAAGAAGCCCCGGCCAACUACGUGCCAGCAGCCGCGGUAACACGUAGGGGGCGAGCGUUGUCCGGAUUUAUUGGGCGUAAAGAGCUCGUAGGCGGUUCGGUAAGUCGGGUGUGAAAACUCAAGGCUCAACCUUGAGACGCCACUCGAGACUGCUGUGACUAGAGUCCGGUAGGGGAGCGUGGAAUUCCUGGUGUAGCGGUGAAAUGCGCAGAUAUCAGGAGGAACACCAGCGGCGAAGGCGGCGCUCUGGGCCGGAACUGACGCUGAGGAGCGAAAGCGUGGGGAGCGAACAGGAUUAGAUACCCCGNUANUC
Molecule: ribosomal RNA, 442 nt
Filed under: uncultured bacterium
Lineage: Bacteria
Description: bacterial SSU rRNA
Rfam family: Bacterial small subunit ribosomal RNA
Source: RNAcentral